UACGGGGGGAGCAAGCGUUGUUCGGAUUUACUGGGCGUAAAGGGCGCGUAGGCGGCAAAUCAAGUCAGCUGUGAAAUCUCCGAGCUUAACUCGGAACGGUCAGCUGAUACUGUUUUGCUAGAGUACAGAAGGGGCAAUCGGAAUUCUUGGUGUAGCGGUGAAAUGCGUAGAUAUCAAGAGGAACACCUGAGGUGAAGACGGGUUGCUGGGCUGAUACUGACGCUGAGGCGCGAAAGCUAGGGUAGCAAACGGG
RNAcentral lists this ribosomal RNA (253 nucleotides) under uncultured bacterium. Its description in RNAcentral is "partial 16S ribosomal RNA". It matches the Rfam family "Bacterial small subunit ribosomal RNA", at positions 524 to 776 of the family's 1533-position model. The record is from RNAcentral.